This 477-nucleotide ribosomal RNA is filed under the name uncultured bacterium. RNAcentral describes it as "bacterial SSU rRNA". It matches the Rfam family "Bacterial small subunit ribosomal RNA", at positions 29 to 507 of the family's 1533-position model. The record is from RNAcentral.
AGCGAACGUUUGCGACGGGCCUAACACAUGCAAGUCGAACGCACUAGCAAUAGUGAGUGGCGCACGGGUGCGUAACACGUGGGUAAUCAACCCUUCAGCCUGGGAUAACGACUCGAAAGGGUCGCUAAUACCGGAUACGGCGCGAGAGGCUUCGGCUUCUCACGAGAAAGCCACGCAAGGGGCACUGAAGGACGAGCCUGCGGCCCAUCAGCUAGUUGGUGAGGUAAGAGCUCACCAAGGCUAAGACGGGUAGCUGGUCUGAGAGGAUGAUCAGCCACACUGGAACUGAGACACGGUCCAGACUCCUACGGGAGGCAGCAGUGGGGAAUAUUGCGCAAUGGGCGAAAGCCUGACGCAGCCACGCCGCGUGAGCGAUGAAGGCCUUCGGGUCGUAAAGCUCUGUGGGGAGAGACGAAGAAAGCCUGUGAAGAGCAGGCCUUGACGGUAUCUCCUUAGCAAGCACCGGCUAACUCCGUG